UACGUAGGGUGCAAGCGUUGUCCGGAAUUAUUGGGCGUAAAGAGCUCGUAGGCGGUCUGUCGCGUCGGAUGUGAAAAUCCAGGGCUCAACCCUGGACCUGCAUUCGAUACGGGCAGACUAGAGUUCGGUAGGGGAGACUGGAAUUCCUGGUGUAGCGGUGAAAUGCGUAGAUAUCAGGAGGAACACCGGUGGCGAAGGCGGCUAUCUGGACAGAGUCUGACGCUGAGGCGCGAAAGCUAGGGGAGCAAACAGG
Molecule: ribosomal RNA, 253 nt
Filed under: uncultured bacterium
Lineage: Bacteria
Description: partial 16S ribosomal RNA
Rfam family: Bacterial small subunit ribosomal RNA
Source: RNAcentral